This is a long non-coding RNA of Capsicum annuum, 788 nucleotides long. RefSeq lists it as uncharacterized. The transcript is spliced from 4 exons. NCBI's taxonomy places the organism in Eukaryota, Viridiplantae, Streptophyta, Magnoliopsida, Solanales, Solanaceae. The record is from RefSeq and is a predicted model, not a curated record.
UUUUACUGAAGGGCAUUUUCGUAAUUCACAAAAUUUAUUGUGUCUGCCCACUUCCACCAGUGAGCACUUUUAGCCAUACAUCUGUGAGCACUCAGCCACACGUUAAAGCUUUUUAUGCUUUCCCAAUUUCACUUUCCCCUCUCAAAAUAUCUGCUCACCAAAAACACAAGCUCUACAAUUUCUUCAUACUUUGUAAAAAAGCUAUCAGUUUGUAGCCGUUUGUGCCGUGCUGGUUAUUGUUCUUAUAUGUGACAGAUCAUCUCCACUUUGGAAUUAAAAGAAAACCCAAGGAAAACUAAAUAAUUAAAAGAUUCUAAGAUCAAAUGUCUAAUAUAAAAAGAAAGGACUGAUACCCAAAUAGAGAGAAAUCUUCAACGUCGUACUGCUUACGGAGAAAUGCCAUCUGAACAAAAAGUAGCACUUCUCGAACGACGAAGAGUGCAAUAUGCUGCCAAAAGGCAAACUACCUUGGAAAAUUCUACUGCUACGACUUCUAAGGAGUCAUCUUCUUCUUUAGACCCCUGCAACAUCAUUCUUCCUCAGCAUACUCUAUAUAUGAGGGAUAUGCCUCUUCCUUUCAGAAAUGGACACACAAUGACACAAAUAGGUUGCUGAAAUAUUCACCAACUACCUUGUUCUCUUGUUUUUCAAAAAAAUAUUCCAAAUUGUAAAUUUUUUGCAGCCAAAAGAUUUCAAUAUGAAAGUCCAUCUUUUUGAUGUAACAAUGGUUCUAUAAAGUUAGCUUCCCAUCAACUACCUCCUGCAUUAAAAAAUCUUUAUUAUAAUGA